RNAcentral lists this unclassified non-coding RNA (181 nucleotides) under fungal sp. RNAcentral describes it as "partial internal transcribed spacer region". The stretch from base 1 to 46 matches the Rfam family "Eukaryotic small subunit ribosomal RNA", at positions 1786 to 1831 of the family's 1831-position model. RNAcentral also lists the same sequence under 1 other name. The record is from RNAcentral. Lineage: Eukaryota; Fungi.
AAGUCGUAACAAGGUUUCCGUAGGUGAACCUGCGGAAGGAUCAUUAUAGAUUUGAUAUACACUAUCAUAACACGUAUAGACCGAAAGCUUUGGCGGCUUGCCGUCAAAGACCUAACAAACAAAUAUAACUUGUCAAAAUACCAAAAUAUUAAAACUUUCAACAACGGAUCUCUUGGUUCUC